Molecule: long non-coding RNA, 606 nt
Filed under: Homo sapiens (human)
Lineage: Eukaryota; Metazoa; Chordata; Mammalia; Primates; Hominidae
Description: long non-coding RNA NONHSAT165288.1
Source: RNAcentral
AACGUUAAAUAACGUGAUCUCAAACAUAUAAUCUUUCCUCUAGCAGGUUCCCAAGUUAUUUAUAAACAAAGGCUUUUAUGCUCCAGAACUCUCUUCACUGCCUUGCCUUCUUCUCCCUCAACUGCACGUCUGGCAAAUAGGAUGGUGGAUUAAAGCAAGUCACAGCAGAGGGCAAAUGUCUUGGAGAUCAGACAGAAGCGGAAGUGGUUUCGUGCCCUUCAAGUCCAGCACAGCCUUGCCUUGGGGCCUUCAGCUUAGGCACGGAAUCUUCUUUGGCCUGGAAUAGCCGUCCCAAAGACUGUCCCAUGAUUGGUUCCUUCACACCAUCUGCUUUAGCUCAGCAGGGCUUUCUCAGGAGUACAUCGCAUCUAGCCAAGCCGACCUUCCCGCUCUGUCAUGUCGGGCCGUUUCCUUGCCUUCUUGCACACAGCACUAUCUGAAAUAAUCUCCUUCCAGUCAUUCAGCACAUUCAUUGAGUGCCUGCUCGUAUGCCCUGUCUUAUGCACUUGGGAUAGAUCAAGGUACAAAUGCAACACCUUCUCUACCCUGGUGGAAUUUACAGGCCUUGUGAAUUACAUUGUUUCCUUUUUCAUCAUCCGCCUCUGG